Molecule: unclassified non-coding RNA, 302 nt
Filed under: uncultured fungus
Lineage: Eukaryota; Fungi
Description: partial contains 5.8S ribosomal RNA, internal transcribed spacer 2, and large subunit ribosomal RNA
Source: RNAcentral
AACGCACCUUGCGCUCUUGGGUUAUUCCUAGGAGCAUGUUCGUUUGAGUGUCGCGUAACCUCUCAACCCCGCUUUCAUUGACUUGGAAGUAGCUUAGGGUUGGAUCAUGACGCCCUGUUUCACAAUCGAAACUGCGUUGAAAUGCAACAAGCUGUACCUUUGCUACUUAGCGGCUUGACCCGUUGUCAUAAGAUUAAUUUCCUUCAAUGGGGACGCUUCGUGGCACGUAAGGAUGGGCUUACCGUAAAUUGAUUAAUCAUUACUUUGACCUCAAAUCGAGCAGGACUACCCCCUGAACUUAA